GAAUGUGUUUUUUCGAUGAGAUUAAAAGUAAAGUCAGUGGACUCUGAAUAGAGCAGGUUUACCCUCCAUAAUCCAUGGGAACCUCUUUCAAUUAGUUGAAGAUAUUAAUAUGACAAAAGCGGAGAAGGAAUUCUACGAAGACUGAGUCUAACAGCUGCCAGACUACUCCAGCAGACCCUGAACUCUGCUGUGUGGUGUGAGCCAAUCCCAAUUCCUGAAAGAUCAUUCUCAAAUACACAUGAGCUGAAAGUAUAACAUCUUAGAAGAAAACACACAUCUUGACGACCUUAGAUGAUCUGGCAAUCAUAUAUAUAAUAUGGAUCAAUUGGAACCCUUAUAGGAUGCUGGUGGAAAUGGAAAACAGUAUAGCCACUGUGGAACACUAUUUGAUGGCUCUUCCAAAAGUGGAACAAAAUGACCACAUGACCUAGGGAUUCCACUCCGAGGUAUACACCCCAAGAGAACUCAAGACUUGUUCAAACCCAAACUUGUCUGAGAAUAUUCACGGCAGCACUACUGACUGGGGCCAAGGAGUAGAAACCACCCAAAUAUUCCUCGGGAUUAACAAUCUGUGGCAUGUCCGCACAAUAGGAUGCCAUUCAACCAUAAAAAGCCCCGAAAUUCUGAUACAUGCUGUGCUGUGCCUAAACCAACAUCAGGAAAGAAGCUGGACACAAAAGUGGUCAGGUGAGUGGUUGCCAGGUGGCACAUGGGAUGACCAGGUGCUGGGAGCGAGGGAUAUAUGAGGAGUGGCUGCUCAUGGAUGUGGGGUUUCCGAGAGGGGGAUGAGAAUAUUCUGGAACUAGUGGAUGGUGAGGGUUGUGCAACGACACAAAGGUACUUAGAAGAAAACACACAUCUUGACAACCUUAGAUCUGGCAAUCAUAUAUAUAAUAUGGAUCAACUGGCUGUGUUCUCUGCUUCUUCCUCAGCAUGGCCCACCUGAAGUUUGCCUCCUUGAGGGACCCCUGGCCUCCUGAUGGCUGAGAACUACUCAGUAUGCAGGUCACUGCUCUCACCUGCACCCAGCUCCGCCCCCUUUCCCCAGCUCCCUCACCCAAGCAUCUAGCUAGCCACUGGCAUCUCAUCCUCUGGAUUUUCCCAGGCAGGGAUCCAUCUAGGCCGACAGGGAUACCUUCUGAGCUCCAGUGAGGUCUUUUCUCUAACAUCCAAGGAAGGGAUUGGUAGGGAAUCAAACAUACCACUGGCUUUCUAGAGCAAUUUUUCCCCCAAAUUCUCUUCCUUCCCCUCUAACUCCUUACCUUAGGUGGAGGCACUAAAAGGGUUGCAGGGUUUCGUUCGUGGGAUCCAG
This 1312-nucleotide long non-coding RNA is filed under the name Marmota monax (woodchuck). The record is from RNAcentral. Lineage: Eukaryota; Metazoa; Chordata; Mammalia; Rodentia; Sciuridae.